Molecule: ribosomal RNA, 1286 nt
Filed under: metagenome
Description: bacterial LSU rRNA
Rfam family: Bacterial large subunit ribosomal RNA
Source: RNAcentral
CCAAACCGACUCAGGUGGUUAGGUAGAGAAUACCAAGGCGAUCGAGUGAAUCGUGGUUAAGGAAUUCGGCAAAAUACCCCCGUAACUUCGGGAGAAGGGGGGCCCAGAGGGUGACGGGACUUGCUCCCCGAGCCUGAACGGCCGCAGAGACCAGGGAGAAGCGACUGUUUACUAAAAACACAGGUCCGUGCCAAGUCGCAAGACGAUGUAUACGGACUGACGCCUGCCCGGUGCUGGAACGUUAAGGGGACCGGUUAGCCUCACGGCGAAGCUGAGAACUUAAGCGCCAGUAAACGGCGGUGGUAACUAUAACCAUCCUAAGGUAGCGAAAUUCCUUGUCGGGUAAGUUCCGACCUGCACGAAUGGCGUAACGACUUCUCCACUGUCUCAACCACGAACUCGGCGAAAUUGCACUACGAGUAAAGAUGCUCGUUACGCGCAGAAGGACGGAAAGACCCCGGGACCUUUACUACAGCUUGGUAUUGGUGUUCGGUACGGCUUGUGUAGGAUAGGUGGGAGACUGUGAAGCUGACACGCCAGUGUCGGUGGAGUCAACGUUGAAAUACCACUCUGGUCGUUCUGGAUAUCUAACCUAGGUCCGUAAUCCGGAUCAGGGACAGUGCCUGGUGGGUAGUUUAACUGGGGCGGUUGCCUCCUAAAAGGUAACGGAGGCGCCCAAAGGUUCCCUCAGCCUGGUUGGCAAUCAGGUUUCGAGUGUAAGUGCACAAGGGAGCUUGACUGUGAGACUGACAAGUCGAACAGGGACGAAAGUCGGGACUAGUGAUCCGGCGGUGGCUUGUGGAAGCGCCGUCGCUCAACGGAUAAAAGGUACCCCGGGGAUAACAGGCUGAUCUUGCCCAAGAGUCCAUAUCGACGGCAUGGUUUGGCACCUCGAUGUCGGCUCGUCGCAUCCUGGGGCUGGAGUAGGUCCCAAGGGUUGGGCUGUUCGCCCAUUAAAGCGGUACGCGAGCUGGGUUUAGAACGUCGUGAGACAGUUCGGUCCCUAUCCUCUGCGCGCGCAGGAAACUUGAGGAGGGCUGUCCCUAGUACGAGAGGACCGGGAUGGACGAACCUCUGGUGUGUCAGUUGUUCUGCCAAGAGCACCGCUGAUUAGCUACGUUCGGGAGUGAUAACCGCUGAAAGCAUCUAAGCGGGAAGCAUGCUUCAAGAUGAGGUUUCCAUGGGGUUUACCCCGAGAGGCUCCCAGCUAGACUACUGGGUUGAUAGGCCGGAUGUGGAAGUGCGGUAACGCAUGGAGCUGACCGGUACUAAUAAGCCGAUAACUC